RNAcentral lists this long non-coding RNA (1660 nucleotides) under Helianthus annuus (common sunflower). RNAcentral's name for it is "hypothetical non coding rna". Lineage: Eukaryota; Viridiplantae; Streptophyta; Magnoliopsida; Asterales; Asteraceae. The record is from RNAcentral.
UAUUUAUUAUUAGUCUAAUAGGAAACCCAAAUUGAGAAACCCAAGUGAUUCUACAGAAACCCUGAAAGUUUUAGAACAAUCAGAAUUAGGAUCAGGGCCCCUAAAACUUAGGGGGGUAUUUCCUACUUGAUGAUUAUCCACAUAACUCGUUGUAGAAAUCUAAUUGGUCAAAACUGUUGACUCAUCAAGGCUAGUCCCGUGGAGGGCAAGCCAAAGAAUUAUAGGUGUCCCUUACAGACCGUAAGGGAUAUGGCAUACGGUCCGUAAGCAAGACCAAAAUUCGGCUAUAAAUAGCAGGCCUUGGGACUUAGAUUUUGGCAUUUGAACGACGAGAAAACUCUCUCUGUAGGCUAAGAUAUCGUCUAAACACUCCAAAAACACACACAAUCACGAAGUGCUGCUACGAUUCAGGGUAUUAAUUCGAUCGCUAUUACGAUUCAACAUCCGAUCGAUUGUAACUAUCCAACGUAUGAUUAAGUGCUGCUCAAAUUGAGCUGAUACUUUAUUGAUUCGUUGUGAUUUCGACUUGAAUAUUUGAGUGCUGUUCGAAUUCGGACUAUGCUCUGUUAUUCGUUGUGAAUCCACUGAGUUGUUAAGUAUUGCACUUUGUUAAUCGUUGUGAGGGUUUAAUCUCGUGAAUUGUCGUAAAUGCUGUAUUGGUUAUUUACCUAAUUUCGUGUGCAUUAGAUUAUUAGGCUUAUCAGUAGGCUAAACUCUAUCGCAUACCCUUACAAUCAAAGAUAAGCAAACCGAGCAAAGCAAAAGCAAAGGUGAGUUCACAAACUUUCUACAAGGCACGGCCAUCCUCCAGAGGUAGGAUGCCACUCCACUAAUCAUUCGCACACAUGCCUGUAGGGCCGCGACGUGAUACGGAUACUAACCUUCGCACACAUGUCUGGGAGACCGCGAUACGGGCUAGUAAGCCAGUGAACCAACUGUCGUUAGGUCCCUAGCUUAAGGAGCUUGCACUGGGAGGCGUGGUCGUUGUGGGAAAACUUAUAUUAAAACUUGUGUUUUGCUUCCGCUGUAAACUCAAACUAUGUUUUGACACCAAUUGUAUUGUGGUUGGUUUUAUUUACUUAAAUACGUUGUUCAAUAUGAUUGGUGGCUAUGAUCCUGGGCAUGUCACGCCUCCAAGGCGGGGUGGGGCUUUGGAGGGGUGUGACAGAAGCUGUCGGAGGAAGGUGGUGACGACGAUAUAAGAGGGUUGACGAUGGAGGUGGUGGUGGUGGUUUGGCGGUGGAGGUUGAGGUGGUGGCGGGUUUGAUGGUGGAGGUGAAGAUGAUGGUAGGGUUUUUUUUAAAGAGAUAAAGAAAGAAGAUGAAUGGUGGGCUCAUCUUUAUAUUUUUUUUAUCUUUUUAAUUGUUUAGGGGUAAUCUAGUAAUUUCAUACGUAUUUAACUGAGGAACUUACAAAAGGUUAACGAUAAGGACUUCAUGAGUGAAAAAAUUACAACCACUAGAACCAAGUUCAAGUCUGCAAUAUCUGCAAACCACAGUUGGAUUUUUGAAAAUAACACCCCCUCACGCUAUUAUCACCUUCGUGGGGACUCGAUAUGAAGACCUCAUAGUAGCGACCGUAGUGGUGUGUGGCGGUGCUGCCCUCUUUUGUCGUGCGGUGACGCCAUAGUACGGGUGGCCUGGCCUAACAAUUACAAUCA